CCUCGUAGCCAAAGUGGUAAGGCACAAGACUUUGACUCUUGCAUUUUGCUGGUUCGAAUCCAGCCGAGGCAACCA
RNAcentral lists this transfer RNA (75 nucleotides) under Myoviridae sp. ct96L1. Its description in RNAcentral is "tRNA-Gln". It matches the Rfam family "tRNA". Rfam says of the family: Transfer RNA (tRNA) molecules are approximately 80 nucleotides in length. Their secondary structure includes four short double-helical elements and three loops (D, anti-codon, and T loops). Further hydrogen bonds mediate the characteristic L-shaped molecular structure. tRNAs have two regions of fundamental functional importance: the anti-codon, which is responsible for specific mRNA codon recognition, and the 3' end, to which the tRNAs corresponding amino acid is attached (by aminoacyl-tRNA synthetases). tRNAs cope with the degeneracy of the genetic code in two manners: having more than one tRNA (with a specific anti-codon) for a particular amino acid; and 'wobble' base-pairing, i.e. permitting non-standard base-pairing at the 3rd anti-codon position. The record is from RNAcentral. Lineage: Duplodnaviria; Heunggongvirae; Uroviricota; Caudoviricetes.